GACAGUCGCGCUUUACGGCAGUUUUGCGACAGUCGCGCUUUACGGCAGUUUUACGAUAGUCGCGCUUUACUGUACAAGAAAUGUAACACCUUUUUGGAUCAGUCCUGGGAUGAAGUAUUGCAAUUUAAAUUCCAAACCCUCAUCUCUGUUCUGUGAGCUCUACUUUAAUCCAUGGCAUCUGCUUGUCUAUUCCAAAGGUUUGUUCAUGCAUAUCCUGGAUUUUGUGCAUAGAGGCAUUUAGGUAUUUGAACAAUUCUGCAAUGCAGCAUGUGAACUACACAGGCAGAUGUCUCCUGCGAAUCAUCUCACCACCACAACAGCGGCAAACACUUCCUGGCCUUUUGGAGCAGAAUGUUCUCCAGGCAUACAAAGCUUAACAUUUAGAGCAACAUCCAAGAAGAAGCUGCCUCCUGCUUGAUAUCUCCCUGACAGCACCAAUAAAUCCUCAAAAAGAGAAAUGUGUUUUCUACAGAAGUGAAGUUGUAACAACAGGAGCAACAGGACUGAAUUCCAGGUGAAAUCCAACAGCUGCUUUCAGCACCCACUCUGUCUCCCCCGAACAUUUUCCUGUCUGUGUGUCCUUCCAUGAGCUGUGUGUCCUUUCACGAAUUGUGUGCCAGGGCUCGCCUUCCGUUCAUCUGCCCCUCAUUGGAUCCAGAGCUGAGCUUCACAUGGGCAGGAGAUGGUGUGGCUGAGGAUGAGGAUGGUGUGGCUGAGGAUGAGGAUGAUGUGGCUGAGGAAGGCCAUCCUGGAGGGACAACCAAACAGACUCUCAAGUUCAGUGUCCUGCAUCUUCCCUUUGUACAAAAUAACCUCUGUGUGACAGGCUUGCUAGUGAAGUCCUGGCAAGUUUGCUUCCAAGGCAAAAAUCCUGCAGGCAUUUAUGGAAACCUCCUUUUUCUCUAAUGCAGAAGCUUCAAGAAAUCAGGCUCAAUACUAAAACAGGCAAAUGAGCAAAGGUAAAACCAUAUUCACACCAACCCCACACCCCUUCAGCAUCCCCACCUGGGUCAUCCCUCCUCUUUGCAUCCAAACUUGAGCCUCUUAGAGGUGCUGAGGAGAAGCUCAGUGGGAAAGCUCACUUUGGAAGGACACCCACUUUACAAUGUUAACUUCUCUCUCCAUUUUCCUUUUCAUUUCCUUAUGUCAUUUUUUCUUGUUCCUUGUCUCCCAGGAUGUCUCCCAUGUAAAUUCCUCUCCCCUAGACCCACCUUUUCCCUCCCUUUUCCCAGUGACAUACAGCAACCCCAGGAAGGAGCCCAUAGUCCUUGCAGGCCCUCAAAAAUCACCAAAUCCUUUGCAGCUACUGAAGUUACUCUCGGGGAGACAGAGCUCCUAAAUCCCUCAUGUCCCAGUUAUCCUGCACCAGGUGUUCCUGCACAGCCAGGCUGACCCUGGUGCUCUGUUCUUCCAGAGAUUUUCCUCAGCAGAGGUGGGAAAUGUUAUGAAAAGAUUUCCAGUGCUUUCUGUUUUCUCCCAGACGAUGGGCACUGACGUGUAGGAAUUAGCUGAAAUACUGCACAACAGUCACAAGUAGAAAUUCUUUCUUCAUUAAUUGUAAAACCUCAUUUCUUACAUGGCAAGAAUAAAGAUAGAGAGAAGCUUCCAGUAAAUGCCUAAAUAAUUUCAACUCUUAUUUGAACAAAAGCCUUUCUCUCAGCAGCAUCACACAUGCUUUUAUUUGGGACCUUUUCAAGCAUUGUUUCUGUUAGGAGGAAAAAAUUCUGUUGGAUUGUCAAGCCAAUCUGUUGCUCUCUUUAACUAUAAAUUAAUUCUUCGAGUUUAUUCUCUUCUCCCUACAUCUUUCUGUGUUCUGGUUUUUGUCUGUCAUCACUGCAACUUGCCAAAAUUCACCAAAAUUUACAAUGAACCAAGUGCAAGAAUUAGGGUUAUGGGCCUGGUAGAAUUUGGACUUCCCACUUACUGCAGAAGUAACAGAAAAGUAUUUUGAUUUGUAGCAUCUAGGAAAUUCUUGUCAACUUUCCCCAGAGUCCUUCUGUUGACUUUAAAUAAAACUCACCAUUAGUAGAAAAUCUGCCUCCCACUUCCCUGCUGUAGGGAGACUGUCCUUCAGAGAAAGAUGAAAAUGCAGAAACAGCUUGUCUCACAUUUACAGGCUUCCUAACAGCCAAAUUCUGUGCUCCUCCUGAACAGGCCAGCCCAAAAAGAGAAGAUACAAAGGAGAAAUUCACCAGGCUCAGCAGUGAGUGCUGCCCAUAACGCUGUUGUAGGAUGCUGUUGUAGGAUCCACAGAGAGCUGCACAGGGGCCCUGGUACAGGCCCCUGUCAUAUCUGAUGUUGUGGGUGGAAAUAUAAUCCCACAGAACUUUCACAAAUGUCUGCAAAAAGCUCUGUUAAUACAGACUUUGAGUCAAUCACUGUAAAUUCCAUUCUAAAAUAAAUGACAAGUUACACUGACUUGUUUGCCUUAACUGUAGAUAGGCCUGCCAAUGUAUAUUGUUGCUGAGGUUAUAUCUACUGCAUUGUGAUACACAACUGGUUCUGUUUUAUAAAUAGAUCCAUUUUUGUGCAUUUCAUCCAAGAUAUAAAUUA
This is a non-coding RNA of Zonotrichia albicollis (white-throated sparrow), 2553 nucleotides long. Lineage: Eukaryota; Metazoa; Chordata; Aves; Passeriformes; Passerellidae. The record is from RefSeq and is a predicted model, not a curated record.